This 130-nucleotide unclassified non-coding RNA is filed under the name uncultured fungus. RNAcentral's name for it is "sequence contains ITS1". Lineage: Eukaryota; Fungi. The record is from RNAcentral.
UUAUUGAUUAUACACUAUGACGUUCAGGACACUGAUGUUUGUAAGGGCCAAGGGCCACGGUUCACAGAGGUUGAUUGGAUAAGCCCGGAGGCGUUCACUAAUGAUCCUUCCGCAGGUUCACCUACGGAAA